Molecule: transfer RNA, 74 nt
Filed under: Sphaerodactylus townsendi
Lineage: Eukaryota; Metazoa; Chordata; Lepidosauria; Squamata; Sphaerodactylidae
Description: tRNA-Gly
Rfam family: tRNA
About the family: Transfer RNA (tRNA) molecules are approximately 80 nucleotides in length.
Source: RNAcentral
GGGGGCUGUGACUCAGUGGCAGAGCGUCUGCCUGCCGGUGCAGGAGGUCUGAGGCUCAAUUCCCAGCAUCUCCA